GAUCUGGGGGUACCGGCACUGCUCAUCCCGCACUCGGAUCCGCGGUGUCACAGGGGAGGGAGGCACCAAGCGCCCGGUGAGGUCACAAAUGCACAAACGCAUCUCAUGGAAUCGGUGGGGGUAGGAGGGACCUCUGGAGAUGAUGCAGUCCAACCCCUCACCAAGGCAGCGUCAGUCGGAGCAGGUGACACAGAGGCAGAGUUUUUCAUGAAAACAACUGAAAAACUGGAGAUGGAGGUGAGGCCUCUUUGAAGAUUGGGUUAUAAAAGCUGUCUCAGACUGUUCCUGCCAGGAGGUGCUACCACGUGAACUAGAAAGACUCCAGCAAGCCUACAUCCUUUUCAUCAUUACAGUUUUAGUAUCAUCCAAUAAACCAGGCAGAUAAGUUUUCA
Molecule: long non-coding RNA, 392 nt
Organism: Vidua chalybeata
Lineage: Eukaryota; Metazoa; Chordata; Aves; Passeriformes; Viduidae
Exons: 2
Source: RefSeq, a predicted model, not a curated record